UACGAGUACCCCGAGCGUUAUCCGGAAUUAUUGGGCGUAAAGGGUGUGUAGGUGGUUGUAUUAGUCUUUCGUUAAAUCCUGGAGCCUAACUUCAGAAUCGCGAGAGAAACGGUACGACUAGAGGAUGCGAGAGGUGUACGGAACUCUAUGUGUAGGGGUGAAAUCCGUUGAUAUAUAGGGGAACACCAAAAGCGAAGGCAGUACACUGGCGCACUCCUGACACUGAAACACGAAAGCGUAGGUAGCGAAUGGG
Molecule: ribosomal RNA, 253 nt
Filed under: uncultured bacterium
Lineage: Bacteria
Description: partial 16S ribosomal RNA
Rfam family: Bacterial small subunit ribosomal RNA
Source: RNAcentral